UACAGAGGUCUCAAGCGUUGUUCGGAUUCAUUGGGCGUAAAGGGUGCGUAGGUGGCGCCGUAAGUCGGGUGUGAAAUUUCGGAGCUUAACUCCGAAACUGCAUUCGAUACUGCGGUGCUUGAGGACUGGAGAGGAGACUGGAAUUCACGGUGUAGCAGUGAAAUGCGUAGAGAUCAUGAGGAAGACCAGUGGCGAAGGCGGGUCUCUGGACAGUUCCUGACACUGAGGCACGAAGGCCAGGGGAGCAAACGGG
Molecule: ribosomal RNA, 253 nt
Filed under: uncultured bacterium
Lineage: Bacteria
Description: partial 16S ribosomal RNA
Rfam family: Bacterial small subunit ribosomal RNA
Source: RNAcentral